UACAGAGGUCCCGAGCGUUGUUCGGAUUCACUGGGCGUAAAGGGUGUGUAGGAGGUCGUAUAAGUCGGAUGUGAAAUCUCUCUGCCUAACAGAGAAACUGCACUCGAUACUGUUCGGCUAGAGGAUCGGAGAGGAGAGCGGAAUUCUUGGUGUAGCGGUGAAAUGCGUAGAUAUCAAGAGGAACACCAGCGGCGAAAGCGGCUCUCUGGACGAUUCCUGACUCUGAAACACGAAAGCCAGGGGAGCAAACGGG
Molecule: ribosomal RNA, 253 nt
Filed under: uncultured bacterium
Lineage: Bacteria
Description: partial 16S ribosomal RNA
Rfam family: Bacterial small subunit ribosomal RNA
Source: RNAcentral